RNAcentral lists this long non-coding RNA (450 nucleotides) under Homo sapiens (human). RNAcentral's name for it is "LHRI_LNC1390.6". Lineage: Eukaryota; Metazoa; Chordata; Mammalia; Primates; Hominidae. The record is from RNAcentral.
AGAGAUCUGGGCGACGCGUCUACAAGCCAAGCGACACCAAAGGUGGCCAGCAGCCCAUGUGAAGCUGGAGGAGAGGCCUCGAAUAAAUGCUCCCUUACAGCGUUCAGGGGGAACUGACCCUGUCCACACCUUGACCUUGAACUUCUGGGCUCCAGAACUGUGAGACAGCAUGUUCUGUUGUUGAAGGAGCAGCGUGGCUAGAGGAAUUCCUGCAGCUUAGAUUUCGCUGGCACUGUUACCACUCCCAGAGAGGAGCGGCUGGAGUUCACGGCUGGUUCCUGACAAACUUCCUAAUUAAUCUGCUAAAGAUCAGAGGAGGACUAAUAGGAGCUGAAGACUAUACAACGGUGGAAUAAAAUAUCUUCCAGCCAACAUAUUUUUUGGAGACGGAAUCUCACUCUGUCACCUGGUUGAAGUGCAGCAGCGCGAUCAUGGCUCACUGCAACCUCU